RNAcentral lists this ribosomal RNA (486 nucleotides) under uncultured bacterium. RNAcentral's name for it is "partial 16S ribosomal RNA". It matches the Rfam family "Bacterial small subunit ribosomal RNA", at positions 30 to 507 of the family's 1533-position model. The record is from RNAcentral.
AUUGAACGCUGGCGGCAUGCCUUACACAUGCAAGUCGAACGGCAGCACGGGUGCUUGCACCUGGUGGCGAGUGGCGAACGGGUGAGUAAUACAUCGGAACAUGUCCUGUAGCGGGGGAUAGCCCGGCGAAAGCCGGAUUAAUACCGCAUACGAUCUACGGAUGAAAGCGGGGGACCUUCGGGCCUCGCGCUAUAGGGUUGGCCGAUGGCUGAUUAGCUAGUUGGUGGGGUAAAGGCCUACCAAGGCGACGAUCAGUAGCUGGUCUGAGAGGACGACCAGCCACACUGGGACUGAGACACGGCCCAGACUCCUACGGGAGGCAGCAGUGGGAAAUUUUGGACAAUGGGCGAAAGCCUGAUCCAGCAAUGCCGCGUGUGUGAAGAAGGCCUUCGGGUUGUAAAGCACUUUUGUCCGGAAAGAAAUCCUUGGCCCUAAUACGGUCGGGGGAUGACGGUACCGGAAGAAUAAGCACCGGCUAACUACGUG